Molecule: unclassified non-coding RNA, 224 nt
Filed under: Hevea brasiliensis (rubber tree)
Lineage: Eukaryota; Viridiplantae; Streptophyta; Magnoliopsida; Malpighiales; Euphorbiaceae
Source: RNAcentral
GGGUGGCCAGUCCGAUUGUGUUUGGGGUGGGGUAGGGAGAUAACAAGGGACAGAAGCUUUUAGUAAAUCUGCUUAUAGGAAGGAUUAUGAAGGGCAUAAAUUAUUUUGUCUUGCCAUUGGCCUAGUAGUCUAGUGAGUUAGUGCUUAUCCCAUAGUACAGGAAGUCAAGGGUUUAAACACUAGCUUCCCCUUCCCCUUUAAGAAAUUUCCAAUUAAAAAAGUUU